Molecule: long non-coding RNA, 832 nt
Filed under: Nicotiana benthamiana
Lineage: Eukaryota; Viridiplantae; Streptophyta; Magnoliopsida; Solanales; Solanaceae
Description: long non-coding RNA (NBEN_LNC037195)
Source: RNAcentral
AAGGCAAUAGUAGAAAAAAUCUUUAUUCCAUUGAAAUAAGACCACAUGCCACAAUUACAUUCAAACAAACUAGACACACCCAAAAUAUAUCAAUCACCAUUACAAACACAAAAUACAUCAGCUAAGACAUAAAAUACACCAGCUACUCCAACCACCAGCAAAACCACAACAACUUCAACGAUCAACGACACAGUAGCAAACCCAAAUAGUUAGCAUUAUUACUACAAUAGAAGCCAAUUUCUUCCUCCAUGUUCUUGCUCGAGCCCUUUCUUCUUCAAAAGCUUUGACCAUAUUCAGUAAACCCUAUAUAACCCUAUUCGCUUGGUUAGAAAAGUCAUCGUCAACCUACCUAAAAUAAUUACAUCCACCUUCGCCUUCAAAAAAAAUUAAUCAAACUAAAAUCGGGAAUAACAUAGUAAAAAUAGUUAAUUAUAACUUACCUUUUCAAUUUGUAUUCAUAGAACCUCCUUCCAGGAUUAGAUGGAGACCAUAAAGUUUUCAAUUGACAUUCAUGAUCAUACCGGCAUGAAUCAACUCUUGGUGGGAGAGACAUAAUUGAGAGGUUAAGCCAAGAUUCGAACACAAGCGGUGAGACUACUUUCAAUUUGGAGAGACGAAAAGAAUUUUUAAACCAGAAAAUCAAGAAAUAGGGUUGGAUUUAAGGGAAGGGUGAAGAACUAGGGCUUGUAAAAGGGGAUAGAGUUUAAUUAUAUAAUAGAAAAAGGGUGUAUUUUACCCUUUGUAUUGUACCGUUGAAAUUUUUUUGUCAACAAAUUUUUACUAUUCACACAUUCAAAAGCAGUGAUAUUCAUGUUAUUUGCCAUGUCAUUAG